CCUACGGGUGGCAGCAGUGAGGAAUAUUGGUCAAUGGACGAGAGUCUGAACCAGCCAAGUAGCGUGAAGGAUGACUGCCCUAUGGGUUGUAAACUUCUUUUAUAUGGGAAUAAAACGUUCCACGUGUGGGAUUUUGUAUGUACCAUAUGAAUAAGGAUCGGCUAACUCCGUGCCAGCAGCCGCGGUAAUACGGAGGAUCCGAGCGUUAUCCGGAUUUAUUGGGUUUAAAGGGAGCGUAGGUGGAUUGUUAAGUCAGUUGUGAAAGUUUGCGGCUCAACCGUAAAAUUGCAGUUGAAACUGGCAGUCUUGAGUACAGUAGAGGUGGGCGGAAUUCGUGGUGUAGCGGUGAAAUGCUUAGAUAUCACGAAGAACUCCGAUUGCGAAGGCAGUUCACUGGACUGCAACUGAUACUGAGGCUCGAAAGUGUGGGUAUCAAACAGGAUUAGAUACCCUAGUAGUC
Molecule: ribosomal RNA, 460 nt
Filed under: uncultured bacterium
Lineage: Bacteria
Description: partial 16S ribosomal RNA
Rfam family: Bacterial small subunit ribosomal RNA
Source: RNAcentral